RNAcentral lists this ribosomal RNA (519 nucleotides) under Ascomycota sp. AM13. Its description in RNAcentral is "eukaryotic LSU rRNA". The stretch from base 167 to 320 matches the Rfam family "5.8S ribosomal RNA". Lineage: Eukaryota; Fungi; Ascomycota. The record is from RNAcentral.
UAGGUGAACCUGCGGAAGGAUCAUUAACGAUUUCGGUGUAAAAAACCGUAUUCUACCUAUGUCUACGCGUACCACAUGUUUCCUCGGGGGGCUUGCCCCCCGCUAGGACCCUUUAUCAAACCUUUUUGUAAUAGCAGUCAGCGUCUGAUACUAAGUUAAUUAUUAAAACUUUCAACAAUGGAUCUCUUGGUUCUGGCAUCGAUGAAGAACGCAGCGAAAUGCGAUAAGUAGUGUGAAUUGCAGAAUUCAGUGAAUCAUCGAAUCUUUGAACACACAUUGCGCCCCUUGGUAUUCCAUGGGGCAUGCCUGUUCGAGCGUCAUUUGAACCCUCAAGCUCUGCUUGGUGUUGGGUGUUUGUCCCGCCAUUGCGCGUGGACUCGCCUUAAAGCAAUUGGCAGCCAUGUAAUCCGGCUUUGAGCGCAGCACAUUGCGUACUCUCUACUGGGACAUGGGCAUCCAGAAGCCUUAUUUUUUACUCUUGACCUCGGAUCAGGUAGGGAUACCCGCUGAACUUAAGCA